RNAcentral lists this ribosomal RNA (449 nucleotides) under uncultured bacterium. RNAcentral describes it as "partial 16S ribosomal RNA". It matches the Rfam family "Bacterial small subunit ribosomal RNA", at positions 338 to 795 of the family's 1533-position model. The record is from RNAcentral.
CCUACGGGGGGCUGCAGUGGGGAAUUUUGGACAAUGGGGGCAACCCUGAUCCAGCCAUUCCGCGUGAGUGAAGAAGGCCUUCGGGUUGUAAAGCUCUUUUGUCCGGAGCGAAACGGGCGGCCCUAAUACGGUCGUCUACUGACGGUACCGGAAGAAUAAGCACCGGCUAACUACGUGCCAGCAGCCGCGGUAAUACGUAGGGUGCGAGCGGUCAUAGGACUUGAUGGGCGUAUUUUGUGAGCAGGAGGUUAAAUCCCCGGGCUCAACCUGGGAAUGGCAUUUGGGACUGCAAGGCUGGAGUGUGGCAGAGGGGACUAGAAUUCCUGGUGUAGCAGUGAAAUGCGUAGAUAUCAGGAGGAAUACCGAUGGCGAAGGCAGGUCCCUGGGUUAACACUGACGCUCAUGCACGAAAGCGUGGGGAGCAAACAGGAUUAGAUACCCGAGUAGUC